AAGCCAUACUAAAAUGCCUACAAAAUAUUCAUUGAAUGUAUUUUUAAGGUCCAUUUUAUCAAAAAUUGCAUGUUUUUAACCUUUAAUCUUGAUAGAAAUUCUAUUUUUAGAAACAGCCCGUUAUAAGGUAUAUCCUUGAAAAUUUUUGGAAAUUUUUUUUUUCCUAAAAUUAUUAUAUGAUAAGACCUUCCUUGCAACAGAAUAUUAAGAUGAUCUUGUAACCUUGCUUCUGGAUCACUUUGCAUGGAUUUAUGUGAGACAGGCACUUAAUA
Molecule: long non-coding RNA, 272 nt
Filed under: Mytilus galloprovincialis (Mediterranean mussel)
Lineage: Eukaryota; Metazoa; Mollusca; Bivalvia; Mytilida; Mytilidae
Source: RNAcentral